This is a long non-coding RNA of Leopardus geoffroyi (Geoffroy's cat), 759 nucleotides long. RefSeq lists it as uncharacterized. Lineage: Eukaryota; Metazoa; Chordata; Mammalia; Carnivora; Felidae. The record is from RefSeq and is a predicted model, not a curated record. The transcript has 2 exons.
CUUCCCGUGAGGCCCGGCGGCCGGCGCAGGCGCAGACGAGCCGGAUUCCGACCGGGGCGCCUCUGAGUUGGCUGGAAUGGUGCAACGCGGGUGGGAGCCCACCGGCUCGGACCUUUUAGGGCCGACUGAGCACUCCGCGCGCACAUACCCGGGCUCCGGAGACCAGGAUUGCCCUCUGCCCUGCAGUCCUGGGCUAACGCUGCCCUCGGCUGGGCUUGGGGCUCGGGCUUUUCCGCGUCGAGCCGGGCAAGCGUGGGUGACUACCCGGCCGGCGGGCAGCAGCUUCCUGCCGGGCGACACGGCCUGCAGCCAGUCCGUCUCUUCACAAAGGUUGUUGUUGAGAACUGUCGCCGUGCCAAUGGGCAGGGGUCGGUCGCACUCAAGGGACCGGAGGCUCUGUAUCACAAGAUAGAACUCAAGUUCUAUUCCUAGGGAACCCGUGCCGAGCAAAAUCUUACAGUAAUUUUAAGUCAGCUAUGGAAACUGAGGCCUCGAGAGGUUAAAUAAGGAAUCCAAGAUGUUAGAGCUGUUAAGGUGUUGGGAGCAAUUUCAACCCACACCGCCCAACUCCAGACUCCUGCCUUAACUGCCGCGCUAAUUUUGGAAGAAAUGCACACCCACUGGAAUAAGAAAAAUAUAGAAGAGCAUAAAGAGGAAAAAAUUACCCUUGGCUCACCAACCCAAGAUGAACACUCAAAAUGUGCACGUGUCCUUAUUGCUGUCUUCGGUAUAUUUUUAAUAAUGACAUUGUCUUACAUA